Girardinichthys multiradiatus is the source of this 3694-nucleotide long non-coding RNA. RefSeq lists it as uncharacterized. The transcript is spliced from 3 exons. The record is from RefSeq and is a predicted model, not a curated record. NCBI's taxonomy places the organism in Eukaryota, Metazoa, Chordata, Actinopteri, Cyprinodontiformes, Goodeidae.
GUGGUACAAGCUCUAGCCACACACUAACUUUAUGCUUCGUUUGUCGACCUCGUGUAAUUUUGUCUUUGUUCCUUUUGCAGAUUUAGAAAACCUAAGCUUUGGAUAUAUGUCACUGUGUACUGACUACGUCUUCGGAAAUUACUCUGGAUGAUCAAGCCUAUCUAUGCUUUGUAGAUUUCAUAUCCUAUCUCCUGUCUUCGUUUGGAUUCACAUCAAGCUGGCAGUUUUCUGCUCCCGUCGUCUCCUGGACCAAACCGUAAGCGUAACCUGUCCACCCUCCGACGUAAACACCUGCACACCGAACUCAUUCCGGUCCGUUCCGAGCUCACACUGAACAGCACCUAAGGAACCUCCUACAGACUCACCUUUGUCUAACCUGGAUCCUGAAUCUCUCUACCCCUGGUGACCUGACCACAGCUACUUAGUAAGCAGAACUAUCGAUCAUAUUAGUUUAUUGUUCUUAGUUUCAUUAACUUUUCGAGUCCCUGUUCUCACUCGUUCUCUUCCCCUUUUUCCAUACAGUUGGAGUUUCGGCCAUUACAUUCCUGAUUAUCUUCCUUUAAAUAAACAACCUUUUACUGAUUUUGUUCUUCGGAGUGUUUCUCUGUAUGUGGGUCAGAUCUAUUGCAAAAAUAAUGACAGAACACUCUGGCCAACAAGACCCAGCAGAGGCGCUCCGUAGAACUCUCUCUGAACAUGCCAACCAAAUCCACUUUCAUGAUUCAUUUCUCUGUUCCCUUUCAGAGCAAUAACGCCAUACAAAUCAAAAGCUAGAAAGAUUGCCUCCAUGUUACAACAAACCUUAGGUACUCAGUCCACCACACCUGCAGAUAGCGCUACUGCAUCACCGGUAUCCCAACAACUACCUCACUCUUGUGAUGUCACUUCCUCUAAUCCGGAUAAGUUUUCGGGUGAGGUAGGCAAUUGUGGGGGAUUUUUGCUUCAGUGCUCUUUGGUUUUCAACCAAUCCCCCUGCUCUUUUCCCCAUGAUGACGUUAAAAUUUUGUAUGUUAUUGGAUUACUGACUGGCAAAGCUUUACAGUGGGCUGAAGCCUGGUUUCCUGAUUGCCGGGAAUUUGUUUGUACUUUUGAUGAUUUUAUUAAAGAGUUUAAGAAGACUUUUUCCCCUGUAUUAGACAAGUCUAGUGCUGGCCGACAGAUACGUCACCGACCCAUUACAGUUUUCUAUCGAUUUUCGUACGUUAGCAGCCACUUCAGGCUGGAAUAAUGAAGCUCUAAAAACUACCUUUUUGCACGCUUUAGAUGAUUCACUAAAGGAUGAACUUACUAUGAUUGAUGAACCUCCUACCUUAGAUGAGGUUAUUUCUUUAGCAACCUGAGUUGACAACAGAAUAAGAGAGAGAAGGAGAGCCAGAGCAGAAAGGUCAAAUUAACACUCCCAGCUGAAGAGUAAUUUUCCACCCUUUGUCAAGGCUCUAUCUUAGCAAGCCGACAAGGUGAUUGAUCUGACUCAUGUGCCCCUCGAAUACCAUGACCUUAAGGGAGUUUUCAGUAAAAGUAAGGCCUUAUCCUUACCACCUCACAGACCCUAUGAUUGCGCAAUCAACCUUCUUCCCGGUGCACCUCUGCCCUCUAGCAGACUCUAUAACAUCUCUCGUCCUGAACAGAAAUCUAUGGAAGAUUAUAUAAAUGACUCUUUGUCUGCAGGAAUUAUUUGGCCUUCCUCCUCACCACGGUUCGUUACGUCCCUGCAUUGAUUAUAGGGGCUUAAAUCAAAUCGCCGUUAAAAAUAAGUACCCACUUCCCCUCAGCACUUCCGCUUUCAAACCCGUUUAUGGUGUCACCGUUUUCUCCAAAUUAGAUCUCUGUAAUGCUUACCAUUUGGUCAGGAUCCGCCAGGGGGAUGAGUGGAAGACGGCUUUCAAGAUGCCGUUGAGCCAUUUUGAGUAUUUGGUCAUGCCUUUUGGAUUAUGCAAUGCUCCUGCUGUAUUUCAAGCCUAAGUUAACAAUGUUCUCAGAUAUUUUUUGAACAUUUUUGUUUUCGUAUACUUGGAUGACAUUCUGAUUUACUCCAAGGACGUACAGGAGCAUCGCAAACACGUUUGCCAAGUUCUUCAACGCCUUCAGGAGAAUCACUUCUUCGUAAAAGCCGAAAAGUGUAAGUUUCACCAAUCUUCAAACACUUUUUUAGGCUACAUCCUUCAGGGUGGACAGGUAUGUUCAGAUCCAGAGAAGAUAAGACUGGAGUGGCCGGUGCCUGACUCAUGCAAAUCAUUACAGCUUUUUCUAGGAUUUGCUAACUUACCGACGUUUCAUUAAAGACUAUAGUCUUGUUGCUGCACCUCUGACUGCUCUGACUUCCUCAAAGAUAUCCUUCUCCUGGUCGUCCGAAGCCGAAGCAGCUUUUCGAGCUCUCAAGGAGAGGUUCUCUCAUGCCCCCAUCUUGGUCCAUUCAGAUCCCUCAAGACAGUUCAUCCUGGAAGUUGACGCCUCUGACAUUGGAGUCGGAGCGGUGCUAUUGCAAAACUCAGAAGAUGGGAGACUUCAUCCUUGUGCUUUCUCUUCUGGCAGGUUCAGUAAUACUGAAAAGAUCUAUGACGUGGGUGACAGAGAGCUGCUGGGGAUCAAAUUGGCCCUUGAAGAGUGGCGCCACUGGCUUGAGGGGGCGAAGCAUCCCAUCCAAGUCUGGACUGAUCACAAGAACUUGGCCUACCUACAGUCAGCUAAAAGACUUAACCCACGUCAGUCUCGCUGGUCCUUAUUUUUCUCUCGUUUCAAUUUAUGCAUUUCUUUCAGACCCGGACCAAAGAAUACUAAGCCGGAUGCCCUCUCCAGACAGUUUGCCACAGACGAUUUGGUGAAGGAAGCUGCGCCUAUCCUACCGCCCAGUUGGACGGUUGGCGCACUCAGAUGGGAGAUUGAGGAUACUGUACUAAAGGCUCAACAAUAGGAACCUGAACCUGGCAAUGGACCACCUAACCCCAUCUAUGUCCCAUCUACAGUACAAUCCUAAAUAAUCGAUUGGUUACACACAGCAAAAUCUUCUGUCCAUCUAGGUGUUAGUAGAACUAUUGCAUUAGUUCAAAGAAGGUUUUGGUGGCCAUCUUUACACAAAGAUGUGAAGGAGUUUGUUCAGUCUUGUGCUACUUGUGCCAGAAAUUGUCAGGAUCUGUGUGUUGUCUUGUUGUUGUUGCACUGUGCUUGGCCUCUAGGUGGCUCUGGGUUCGUGAGGAGUGGUGGAAGGUGUCCCAUAUUCCCUAAUCAUCCCUGGAGGGUACUUAAGAUGGAGGCCGCCAGCAGUUCAGCGCCAGAGUGUUGCUCUCAGUGACUGGAUUCCUAUGCCUGACCUUGUCUUUGAAGAAUCCUCAUCAACUUGGAUGUUUUUGUCACUGGAGAAGGAUUUCUUAGCCACGUGGAUUAUACCUGGUUUGCCAAUACUUUGCUUCCUAAGUUACUGGCUGGCGGCUAUUCAGACGGUGCAUUUCCUGGAACAACUACGGACCACCACAAGCGAACCCUGUCCACCCUCCCACACAAUAACAUCAUCAGCCGAACCUCAGAGUUACCUCAAAGUGAGUCCAAGUACCUACAAGCUCUGUUCAUCUCAGUGUGCAGUUCCAUUGUUAUCUCACCCUCUCCUGGCGGAUCAAACUCCCCUCCCUAUUGUCUUCCGGUUCCAGCUCCACUUCCCUUUACCUGCUCACUGUAAAAUAAAACCUCUUGUAAAACUUCA